This is a non-coding RNA of Bactrocera oleae (olive fruit fly), 12490 nucleotides long. The record is from RefSeq and is a predicted model, not a curated record. NCBI's taxonomy places the organism in Eukaryota, Metazoa, Arthropoda, Insecta, Diptera, Tephritidae.
CUAAUAUUUAAUCCGAAAUGUAAAACACUUCUAUAACAUACUGUGCGCCACAUUGACGUUAAGUAUACCUCUUAUAAAAUAAACACGACGUAUGAAUCGAGUCGAUUUAAAAACAGCCGCAAUUAUGAACAGCUGACGCUCGCUCUUAAAAGCUUCUCUCUCUUUGUUCGAUAGCAAAAAACUCACUUUUGCUCUUAGCUCUCAGUUUCUCUGAGAUUUGGAUGCAGCUGCAACGAUGUCUGCAGUACUGUCUUAUCAGUGAUAGUUGGGUAAACAAUAACACAACAAACAACAACACAAAUUGUUUGAAAUAAAGUUCGACGGUGUGUUUCAUCCAGAUGAGCUUAUGUACUUGCGUGAUUAUAUACAUGUGUAUGCAUGUGAGAAUGCAAGUCUGCAGAUGUAAAUAAUGUAAGUUCUGUCCACUGUGCUCUGCUUCCGCCGCUGUGUUAUCAGCUGUUUUGCAGGGCACUCGUUUGCGCUCCAAUGUCACUGCUGUCGAUGCAGCGGGAGUAUCUCAACUCUGCUAACCGCUCGCCGGUAGCUAAUGGUUGCAGCAAAGCAGCGGCAGAAGUAGAGGCAGAGAUGAACGACGGGCGGCAGUGUCUGUGUGAUGGGGAUGAUUGGCGGUAUGAUGGUGGUAACGGUCGGGCGCAUGUGGGUGCUGCACUCGACGACAUCAUUGCUGAAGUUUGCUCGCGCGCAGCUUUAUUCUCGCAAUUGCAGUUGUCAUUACAUGCAUGCAUGCAUAUAUUUUUUGUUUUGUCGUUGGAACUAUUACUAGUUAGCGUUUGUGUUGCCGGCUACAGCUCUGGCGACUGUCAUGAUGUUCGACUUUUGGCGCUUAGGUUACGUCGCUGCUGCCUUACGUUGCUACGCGAAUAUCUGCAUGUGUGUGUGCGAUUGUUGGUAGGUCGCUGGCGUGUUAGCUAAUUGCUGUUGUUGUUCCCAGUGUUUUUGUUGCUCACACUGACGCUCAAACAGCAGCGACGGUCGGUUGAUUGUGUUCAAAAUACGUUCUGCCAUUUCGCCUGAGUUCUGAUAGUUUCUCGGUUUGGAUUUCAGUAUCGCAUAGGAAGUUGUCGCGAGCGUUUGUUUUGUGGAGCUUGGUCGAAUAGCUAAAUAGGAAUGCAAAAGGCAAACGUUUGCCGCAAUCAACGCAAAAAUCACUCGCCCGCAAUACCAAUGCAAAUUCGAUAAGAAAAAAAUAGUUUUCGCUACCGCAGAGUCAUCUACAAAAAAAAAAACAAAUGAACCUUCUACGAAUACGGUGAUCCACGGACACAGUGUUUGCCUAUUAACUUUCAAAGUAAUGCAUACAAACGAAUUCAAACUGAACUGAUUUCUGAUUUCUGAAUUUGAAUUUAUCAUUAUUAUCGUUUUAAGUGCAAGGAAUUCAGCUGUGUGCGAUAGACUACAUACAUACAUAUGUACAUAAUUCUUACAAGAAGUAUAGCUCCUCCGACGGGUAUUCGAACUUGUAGUUUAUAGCGAGCACGCGGCGAUGCAUGGUGGUUCAUUGGAAUAUUUAUGAUAUGAACUAGUUAAUAUAAGUAGAAUAAAAAUUAAGUGAAUAAAGUUAAAUCUAAAUCAAAUGAAAUUAUCGUGCAAUUAAAUUCGUGCUACAACAACAUCUUGGAAAGCUACUUGAACUAGAAUGUGGUAUAAGUUUGACUAAUCCAAGUCCAGAAUCGUGCGCGCAGCCUUAAUAAUUACAUAUUCGUGGCUAUGUAUGUGUAUAUAUACAUAUGUAUCAAUUAGACUACGAGCGUUGUAGUAGUGCGCAGUUUAGAAAUCGAUCGUUGCGCAGGCGGAAUUGGAUUCAGUUACACUCGUCGCCGUCAUUAUAAUCUUCGCCUAUCCAUGUUAAUACACAGCGUUGGAAUUGACAUCGACGUGAGAUCUUACCUUGUUGCCUGAGGUAAUGCAUGCGAUAGGUUUCCUAUGCCCUUGAGGAAGGUGUCCGAGUCUCUUAGUCAUAGCCAUAGUUAUAUCCUUAGAUAUAGUGUGUGUAGUUAACCGCCAACUAGACGUGCAUACCUCAACAGGGCUAAUUGGAAUUAAGCCGACAAAUUCAUCGUGUCAACGAGAUCAAUUGAAUUUUUAGAUACCAAAAGGCGAUCGCCGUUAUACCAAAAAUGGAUAUGAAAAUGGAGUUAGUAAGUCAGUCGCAAGAGAUGAGUACCGGUUCUCCAUCAGAGGUGCCAAACGAUCCAGGGAAAAUGUUUAUCGGCGGAUUAAGUUGGCAAACCAGCCCAGAAAGCUUACGAGACUACUUUAGCAGGUUUGGUGAUAUAUCAGAGGCUAUGGUCAUGAAAGAUCCAACGACGCGGAGAUCGAGGGGUUUCGGCUUCAUAACAUUCAGUGAUCCAGCCAGCGUAGACAAGGUUCUAACACAAGGUACUCACGAACUUGACGGUAAAAAGAUUGACCCGAAGGUAGCUUUUCCCCGCAGAGCACAUCCUAAAAUGGUGACGCGAACGAAGAAAAUUUUUGUGGGUGGGCUUUCCGCGCCCACAACAUUGGAGGAUGUCAAAAGCUACUUCGAGCAAUAUGGACCGAUUGAGGACGCUAUGCUUAUGUUUGAUAAGCAGACCAAUCGGCACCGAGGUUUUGGCUUCGUUACAUUUCAGAGUGAGGAUGUGGUAGAUAAAGUUUGUGAAAUUCAUUUCCAUGAGAUCAACAACAAAAUGGUCGAAUGCAAGAAGGCGCAACCAAAAGAAGUCAUGCUGCCGGCCAACUUGGCCAAGACGCGCGCUGCAGGUCGCUCUGCAUACGAUAACAUCAUGUGGGGACUGGGGACAUUACCCGACGGAUUUCCGGCAGCCGCCUAUGCAGCCUAUGCAGCCGGACGUGGUUAUUCGGGAUAUCCAAGCUUCGGUUUGCCUUACCCUGCUGUGGAUCUAACUAAUGGACAACUUACUCCGAACAACAACACGCCUCUUCUCACUCAGGCUCUUUCAGUGAUGAACAAUUAUCAAGCUGCCGCUGCAGCAGCCCAUAGCUUUGGACCUUCCGCUUCUCCCCAUACUGCGACUACGCGGCAAGGUUUCCCUUCGACUAACUCUCCUGGGCCCACCAUUGACAUGUACAGCUCAACUGGUGCUGACAACGUCGGCUAUGUACAGGCAACAAGCCCACAACCUUCUGGAUUUCCUAUAGCUGUGAGUCGGGCACCAUUAAACUAUAGUCCGAUAUAUUCGUUGAACUUUGCGAUGGCUAACAUAUAAAAUGAAUAAGACUGAUUAACCAACAAAACAUAGAAAGAAAUAUAAGCAGUUGCACAAGGGACCACUGAUUCCUGCGGCCUUUACAAAUGGUUACCAUUAAGCAUUGGCGUUAGAUUGCAACAUUUAAUACAUCAGCAACAACAAUAUAUGAAAACCGCAGCUAACAGUAAAACAACUAACACCGUUAUUGGAUACAGCUUGAAUUAAAACACACGGGAAAAAAUGGAAAAGUUACCAAAAGUCAACACAAAACAAAAAUUAUAUAACCAAUACACCAAAAACAAACAUACAUGCUACAUAUACAUAUAUACAAAUAUACAUACUAAUAUUAAUAUAAAUGAAGUUUAUAAAUGAAUAAGUGGAAAGCAAACAAGCUUACAGAAAUAAAUUUAUAUUUAUUUAUAUACAUACACAUACCAUACGUGUACAUAAUGUGUAUGUAAGGAAUAUAUUUAUAUUUAUGGAUAUGCAGAUAAGCAGUCACAUAUUCAUAUAAGCACAAUUAUUGCGUGUGUAUGCAUGAAAAGCAAUCAACACCUCCAAAUCUCUUUAAGUUCGCUGCAAAAAUGAAUUGCAAUCAAAAGUUUAUGUUUUGAUAAUUGUAAAAAAAGACACGCUUGCUUUAGUGCAAAAUAACUAAAACUAACUACAGCAGCUUGAAAUAGUACAGCAACAACAAUACCAAUGCCAAUUACGAGUACAUUGUGUAUUGCCGAGUAAAGAAGAGAAACGAAGAACACAAACACAUAUGCGUACACACACAACGGCCAAAUAUUCGCAUUAGCUUUACAACAACAGUUCUAUGCUUUCGUCCAAAUGGCGACCGAUAAAGAAGCGAAAUCAAAAACUUACCCAUUUCCAUCAAAGAGCCUUCGAUAGUGAUGAAACUAGUGAUUAAUUUUAGUCAAAUUUAGUGCGUCUACUGUUGAUAUAUUGAUUAAUAAAUUAUAUUUUAAUUGUUUACAAAUACAUGGGGUUAAAUAAGAAUUAUGUGUGAGGCGCUUUAAUUAACUUGCGUUCUGUUUACGAUAGAAUUUCCAUAAAUCGCAACAACAAAAACUUCUCAAAGUAUGAUUAUCAUACUUUCCAAGCCAAUCAUUAGCUUCAAAUUAAUUAUUUCCAUAAUUUGUUUUUUGUAACAUACAUAUAUAUUUUUUAAGAAAAUAUUUUAUAGCUAAACUGAGCUUGUCCGGCAAUUUCAAGUAUAUUUGCGGUAACAGAAAGCUUAAAACUAUUGAGCAGACACCCAAAGAGCAAAAUAUAGAAGCAGAUCAUAAAUUGGACACGUUGCAUGACUAAAAGCUUAGUUAAGGAUUUUUUGCUAACGCAAUUUGGAUAAUAUUUUUUUUUUUGUUAAUCUCGUAUUUGGCAUUACAAAAUAAAAUAAAAAAUUAAUUCAAAUGUUUAUUAAAUUAUUUUUUUAAUACAUUAUUUGCAACCCACACACAAAAUAUACAAACUGCAAUAAUUUUUAUAUUGGAUUGCACUCUGGUCAUUGACUUAAGUAUUGAAUAUUCAUGAAAUACAUAAAAUAAUUACUUUGACGUUGAUGUUGCAGCAAUUCAUGCCGCUUUUGCGAGGUUUUCCGUACCGAAUCAAAGUACAUUUUCAUCAAAUUUUCUAUUUUUUUUCUAUUUUGUGAUAUCCUCACAUUCAGAGCUAAGCUCAUUAUAAAAGCUUUCGAGCUUUCAUUAACUAUAUUUUUAAAGCAUGAUUGGUUUGCUUUUAUUAUACCAGGUCUUUUGAGGUAUAAAUUUGUAAUUUUAAACACCGCCGCGCCAAAACUAAAAAAACUUUCGGUCACAAAGCCCCAUAAACUGCUAAGAUGCUCACACAUCCUUCAAUUCUGAAAUACUGAAAUACUGAAUCAGUGAGUCCUAUGAAAGUUGCCAAAGCAAUGCUCGCUCCUUCUAUUACAAGAGCGGCCAUUUUACAAACCUACACAUAAAUACAUAUGUACAUACAUACAUACAUACAACAGGCAUAUAAUGGACCAAUUAACAAAAUACUUUAAAGCAACAAUAACUACCAUAAUUGAAACUUUAUUGAAAUAAAGCGCAGCCAACAUAACGCCAUUGCCCUGCGUGAGAGUCAUAGGCGACACUUACAACAACAAAAUGCAAAAAAUGCAAUUAAAUCCUAGUGUUUGCAAAAACUGAGUGUGAUGCAACACUUGCUUUAUACUACCUACAACAAAAUAUUUAUAUGCGUAAAUAUGAAAAAGAACAAACCUAGUGGUAAUAAUUUAAAACACCAAUUUUAAUAGUGCGGCACUUCAUACAUACAUACUUACAAUAAAAAUAAAUAUAUUAACUAAACACAUUAAUUAAUGAACUUAUAUAUACAUACAUACAUACAUAUGUGAGGAUUAUUUAAAAAAUAAAAAACAAAAACAAAAAUACAAAAAACAAAAAGCAAAUAAAACAAAACGAAAAAUGAGCAUUAACUAAAACAAAUAUACAAUACAGAAGGAUAUUUAAAUUACAUUACACUUUAUAUGUACAAGUAUAGAAAAUAAACAAAUAAACAAUAAGGGCAACAUCAAUAUGUUCGAGUGUCUGUGUCGAGCAGGUCGGUGCACAAAUUACAAAGACGACUGACAACAUACAUACAUAUGUACAUACAUACACAUGGAAAGGAAGGAAUCGUAAAAUAAGAAGUGCAGAUCAAUACUCGAACACACACACACAAAAGUUGCAAUAAAAGUAUAAACUGAAAGCCGUAAAAUCAAAUUCGACACAAUGACGACGACUCCAAACACUGAACACGAAGUUAUUCGGACGGAAGAAGAAGAUCGGGGAUUGACCAAAUGUGUUGCGUUAGUACUGCAAACUGGCAGUGGAAGCGAAAGAGAAAGAGGAAGAAAGAAAGAAAUUGUUAUAACUAGGAAAUAAUUUGCGUUCGAAGAGGACGGAGAAGAAAUCAUUUAUAAAACAAUAAAAAGUUUGCACAAACGCAAAUAAAUAUUCUUACUUACAUAUAUAGUAUACAACUUAUACAUAUAUAAAAAUAAGUAAGUGAAUAUAUAGUAUAUAUACAUUAUAUAUAAACUUGAAUACAUACAUACGUACGAACAUAUGUAUGAGAUGCAUUGAAGAAAUGGAGUGGCACUUAACAUGGUUAGCGCGGACCACAACCUGGUGCUUAGCUAAACUUAGUGACUAAGCGACGAAAUGGAAGAUUGCAAUCGCGAGAUGCUAACCACUAAACAGUGAAAAGCCGGCGGAAGGAAAUAUCAUUGCAGUUUAUAAAGACAAAUGAAAAUUAAGGAAAUUUGUAGCUUUUAGAUAGGAUGAAAUUGAGGUAGCGCAACUGCAAAACAGCAAAAACCGAAAAAAUACAAAAACAAAACCAAAAACACAUAUGAAAAUACAAAUAAUUUGAUUUAUUUAAAAGCUAAAUUGCAAAAAGCGUGCCGAGAGAGCGCGGUUGAAGCCCAUGGUGAAGAAAGAGUUGCAGAGCCCUUGUGCCCAGAGCGGCGAAAGCAGCGAAUAGCGGCUGCUACCUGAGAAAUCAAAGCAGACGGCUGCACUCUAUUGUAUGUACCAGAUAAUUUGUAAAUUGACUCUCAAGAGCACUUACUCGUAGUUAGAAAUGGAUGAUGCAUAAUAGUUAGAAGAAGUGUAGGGAAAAGCUAAAGGUUGCCAAGGAAGCGGCAGCAACAUCUGAGGCAUACAAGCAUUUUUUAGCUAAAUAGCCAAAGUGGCUUAAUGAUUGAUCCGCUAGCGCCCACGCAAUUGUAGGUGGCUUGAAAGGUCAGUCCGACGACGGUGUGAUGAUUAAUUGAAUGACAAUUGUCCAAUGAUGUUACUUUAAAUUAAAGAAAACAAACAAACGCAAAGAUAAUUAAAAUAAUAAACAAAAAAAAACUUCUUACCAAGAUAUUAAUGAAUAUUUAAAGAUAGUGCAACUUUUUAAACAUAUAAGUAUUUAUUUAUUAACUUCGAUGCUGCGGCAUCCAACAUACUUACAUACAUACAUAUACACAAACACAGAUGCAUAUAUCAAAGAUUAAUAUAGCAUACAUCCAUACAAACAUGCAUACGUACCCCGUAUUUAUUUGCUAAGAAGCUAUUAUGGCUGGCUGAACUCUGUAAGGAAUAUUAAAAAUUAUUAUGAACUUUUACACAAUAAAGAAUAAGCGUAGGAAGCCAAAGACAGGUGUGUAAAUUAUACAUUUUACUGGCGCGUAGUUGAGCCCGUGAGGGACUCAAUACAAAUAAAGUUGAAAAUGCACCAAAUGUGUAUGUACAUACAUAAGAUAAAAAAAAAUAAUAAUAAUAAUAACAUACAUGCAUACUCAUAAAUAUACAUACAUAUAUACUGUAAAACAAUGCAAAUAUAGAUAUACAUAAAUAUAUAUUUUUAAGAAAUGUUCUAAAAGCAAUAAUUACAAACAACAACAAAGAAAAAAUAAAACAAAACAAAAUAAAAUAAAUAUUGUGGAAAAGCUAUGUAUUGAUAAGUGAAAAGUAAUCAAUGAAUAAGUGAAUAUAUAGUCUAAUAAUAUAUACAAAAUAUACAUGUAAAACAAAUAUUUAUCUAAUAGUACUAAGCUAAAAUAUUAUUAUACAUAAAAGUAUUAACCUAAAAAUACAAAAGUAAUAAACUAAAUAUAAGAACGGUACCCUAACAGAAAACCUACAAUCUGUCAAAAAGGAAUGACUGUUUAGAGAAUACACAUGUACGAGUACUAAAUAGUUAACUUCUUUUGGAAUACAUUUCGAACUUUUCGUUUAAGCGCCCGAGCGCACCCUGUUGAAGUAAUUAUUUCAUACUUGCAAAAGUCAUUUCCAAGCAUUUUAUCAACUACUUCUUUUUAAACUACAGUAAAAGAUACGUAAAUAUUGUUUAAAAAAAAAUUGGAUCCAGCAAAACUUAACUACAUUUCGAAAUAUAAAAACAAACAAUUUUGAAAAAAUUCAUUUUUUAAGUGUUAGGAGACAAAAAUUUCGCAAUAUUCGCAAACUAGUGUUGAUUUUUAAAAAAUAUGUGCCAAGGUAUGUGGCAUUUUAAUGCUGGCCGAAAAUAUCAUUUGUAAAUAAGAUAAAAUCUCUGUUUUCUUAAAAAGUUGUAACGUAUUAAAAAUUAUUGAAAAUAUUUGAAAACUUUAUCUUUACUAAAUUGGUGAAAUCGGUGGUUAUUCGAAAUAUUUUUAUAUAUUUUUUCGGAUUUUUUUAGGAUAGGCUCCAUAUAUUUUAUUGCUAUAGAGAUGCACAUGAUAAUGAAUAUGAAAUUAACAGAGUAUAUAAAUGGCAUUAAUAUAAUUUUCUUUGCAAUUUUUUACAAUUUCUGCCAUAAUUUUAAUUCAUUUUGUACCUAUUCCAAGCGUUUAGUCCAAAGUUAGGCCGCACUGCAACCUUUACAUUUCUUUCAAUUUGCUAAAUUGCUGCUGACCUGAGUUUCCUUUCAACUAUAAUAGAGAAUACCAGUGGCAUGUAUGUCAUUACUUUAAUUUAAAAAAAUAUCGUAUUAGCUUACAACUUUGUGGAAAAAAAUCAAGAAUUGACAUGAAUAAUAAAAUAAGAAUUCACGAAUAGUCAAAUGAAUCGAUACAUGAAAAACGCGUCCUUUAGAACAAAAUCAAUUUUAGUCAAUUAAAAACCGAAUACAUUUAAUCAUUAAGCUAGGAAAAAGCAAAUAAGCAGAAAAAGUUACGUAUACAUGAAUACAUACAUAUAUGUAUGUAAAAUAGUUUCUGUUAAGUUUUUAAGAAUUUAUUCAAUUCUUUCUUUUUUGCUAUUAAACUUUUACCAUUAGAACAAAUUUGAGAUGAACUAAAUAUAAAUACGCAAGGCGCAACGCCUCAGCGUUUUUGUAAGCGUUAAAUCGCAAAGCUUUAAAUACUUGAAGUUUUAUAUUAAUCCAAGAAACACAAAUGUGGCAUGCUCUAGGGGGCAACUUAUAUAUGUAACACCACAAGUUGGUGGAACCCCGUGGCAUAGCCGGACUUUUGUCAAUUUAGGCCAAAACAGCAAGUAGAACAUUAAAGACGAGCUAAAAGAACACUUGAGGGCACAACCGAAUGCCGCUUGCAUAAAAUGACAAUUUAACAUACUAAAUACUUAAUAAUAACAUAAAGAAAUGAUAAAAUUAUGAAAUGAUAAAAACUAGCAAUUAAAUGGUACACUUUUUUACUCAAGAACGUAAGAACGUAAAUGAGAACAAAGUUGAUUAUUACGAAGAUAUAUAUACAUAAAAUAAAACUAACAAGUAUACAUACACACAUAUCAUUUCUCCUUUUUCUAAAGCCGACAGACCGAAGAGAGACCUUAAACCAUUUCAUUUACGGUAUUUUACGACAUUAGAUAAAUAUGUAGGUACACUUAUGAAGUAUGCAUACGCAAUGUUUUGCUUAAGAAUCACACCUGAUAGCAAAUUCGCAAUUAGACACCAAUUAAUCAAAGCGUUGCGAGUCACUUGCUAUGUCUCUCAAAGAGCCAAAUGUUAAUUCGAUAUUUGUUGUUUGUAGCUUUCUGUUUACACGCGACUGUCGCAGCUUAAGACUUUUGUAUAAGUGAAAUUUUGAAUGUAUAUACAUACAUACUGACAUACGAGUGCAUAAGUUCCACAGCUUUAGAACUACAAUUUUCUUUCGCAUUUGCCUUACUGAAGCAUAUACAUGGAGCCUGUGGACGAUCUGAAGUCAUCACACACCCUCACUGUUGUCCUUAUCUCACACAUAUACACACAAACAUAAAUUUCACUUCAUUUACCUACGAGCAACGACAAUUUGUAUAUGUAUUUAUAGUAGUAAAGCAAUUACUGCAUACAACAAAUACAAGCUACUUAUUUCAUUGAGUCAACACACACAAACACUAACACAAAUGCACUUUUAAACGUACACACACGAUUUUGCUAUAUCGAAUUCUUUGCGCGUUCUUCUGCGAUGGAAUUCCUAACAAACACCUUCACUAUAUUGACAAUAUCUUAUAUAUAUAUAUAUAUAUAAAUAUUUUACACUAUACUAUAUAUAUAUAUACAAAAACACAUAUAUAUAAUCAAUGUAAAGAGAAACACUUCAAUGCGAAAAGCAAAUAGUUAAGUAACAAAAUAUAUAUACCAUACAUAUAUAUAAAUGAAAAGCAAUGUAUUUAUUUACAAGAGCCAAAACGGUGGUAGAUAAAAAUACUUGCUAAUUACUACGAAACACAUGAAUAAAUUGAAUAAAUUGUUGAAUGGGAGUGUCAAAUGUGUACGAAAUAAAUAUGUUUGUUCUUUUUCCACUGCAAAAGUGGGGAAAUUAUAAGAGUUAAGCGACACUCUUGUUUGUUGACAUAAACAGCACGAAAAGCUGCUGAUCAUUAGAAGACACAAUAUCCAUUACUUUUAUCACUACUCAUUUUUUAUCGAUUGAUUAAGAAGUCAUGAAUUUCAAAUACUAACUGUAAAAGGUCAAUAAGAAUUUAGAAUUGGUAACUGUCUACUGGACGGUGCGCAGUAUGUACUUGUGUUCGCGAAACCAAUAAUUGUAUUAUGUAACCAAAUAAAAUCUAGCAAUGAUUUCCAUCAUAAAACACAGUCAUAUAGCCCAUGGAACGAUAGAAAAGCCCACGCUAUUUCGAAAAAGGGCGCCAAUAUCCAGUCUUUUUAGUGUUAUGUGAUGGUAACUGCAUACAACAGCUCGGUGCACAUCUAUCGAGCUUUUUACUGAUAGCAUAAAGUAUAUUUAGCACUUUAGAAAACCAAGCCUCUAAUCAAGAUUGAAUAUUGGCGGCGCAAACAGAGUACCCGACGACAUUGUUCUUUUCCUAGAAGUGAGUACCUUCCACUCAACUUUUUAUAGCAAACUAAAUUAGUUUGAACAUUUCUGAUAUUGCGCCUGCAAGUACAUACGCAGACACACCUGUAACUGCAAUGUCCAAACGCAUCUUUAUAAAGAGAAGCCUUUGGGCAACUUGCAUGAGAAUGAGCGAGAAAUUAAUGGCACACAGGAAAGGAAAGUAAGUAAUUUCUUCAUUACACACUUUAUUGCUAAUUUGACUUGUGUAAAUAAAUAUGCAUCUAUGCAUGUAAUAUUGACAUUCGCAUUGUUAACUCAGUACUAACUAUACAACAAUUAUACAAGGAAGACAUUUGCUGUUAAUUUUCUUAAAUAGAUAUUAUUACUACACUUAAAUAUAUAUGCCAAUACAGAAAGAUACUGAGAAUCUUUGUAAAUUAAAGAGAUACAAGAAUAUUUGUCUAUGAUUUUCAACCAUUUUUAACCAUAUUAGCCAUUAAUAUCAUUGAGGAGAAUACCAGAAUCCAAAAUUCAAAAGUGAAAACAAUUUGUAAUUAAAUAUACCGAAAAAGGUUCAACAGCAAAGAAAUAUAAACAAGCGAAUUUGUAAAAUAAUAAGCAACCAAUACUUAGUAUAAAUUUACCACACUUAAACGUACAUAUGUAUGUAUGUGGAAAUUCGAGUAGAGUACAUGAAAAUGUAUGUGUUUAACUAAAAUUACAAAAAAGAAUUUUCUUAAAAAUCAAACACUACUACAAACACAAGAAUUUUUAACUGGACGAAAUUGAAGGAAAUCAAAAUAGUAAUGAAAAUAACGGACUAACUGGUAAACAGAAUUAUGAUAUAUAUAAAGUUAGUAUUAAAAUUGAGGCGUCCGAAGGCAUGAAAAUUACUUCUAUAAUUUUUUUGAUUUCAUUCGGGUUUUGUAUUAUUUUUGCAAGAAAGCAACCAUGACACCACAAGAAUCAAUGAAGAAACCAAAAAAAAAUAAGUAUAUAAUAUUUGAGAUGUUGAUAUGUUUAGUAUAAAGACAAUUUGAACGUAAGUUCGAAGGAAAAAAGCUGUAAUAAUUGUUACUAAAACAACUCAUAUGAAUGAAGAGGGACAUUUGAAUUCGAAAACAAAACUGUUAAUGCUGAAAUUUGAAAGAAUGGCGAAAAAUGUUGAUCAUUAAGAAGGGCUAACUGCAUAAUAUAAUUGAGUUAAGGAAAAUUGAAAAGUGCAAACGGGCAAAGUGCAUAAGCAUUAACAGUAAAUAUUUAGCAGAAAGUUAAUUGAGAAUGAAACAGUUAAAUGUAUGUAAGAGUAAUAUAUUAAGGAAAACAAUAUUAUUAUUACUAUAUAUUGGAUGAUGGUGAUUUUAAAGCAAAAAUACACAAAAAUCGAAAUUAAAGUUAAAAGAGAACUUUAGAUUUAAGCAAUUAACAAUUCUAUGAAGUAUAUAUAUAUAUAUAAAUGAAAUGAUUGAAUUAAUACAAGAAUCAAUAAAAAUACCACAAUAAAACUAUGAACAUUGUUCAAAGGAAAUAAAUUUGA